Long non-coding RNA from Pristis pectinata (smalltooth sawfish), 1514 nucleotides. RefSeq lists it as uncharacterized. The record is from RefSeq and is a predicted model, not a curated record. NCBI's taxonomy places the organism in Eukaryota, Metazoa, Chordata, Chondrichthyes, Rhinopristiformes, Pristidae. The transcript has 3 exons.
CAGCAUUAUAGAGAGUGCCCCAUAUGCUUGGUUUACUCUCUUUUUUGACUGCUCUGAGGGAUUCACCCUGCUUCAUCCCAGGCUGAGGAACUGUGGAAUGGUGCUGGAGAGAUCGCUGAAGCUGUGGACUUCAGAGAAUGAACUGAGAAGCUGAAUAUUCAAUUUCCAGAUCUUGCAGUCCAUUAAGAGGUGAUCACCAUCUCUGGAUAGUGUGGAGGUGCAUGAUUUCUGGCACCUCCUUCAAAACAGACACACAGAACAGAUCAGGUCUUGGACUACAAGAGGCCCCACGUCACUGUAAGAUGCAGACUGCUCCAUCUGACAGCUCCUGCUAAGCUGUAUAACUUUGAAGUGUGGUGAUCAGCGAAGGAACCAUGAUGCCUGUGCAUACAAACUGAAAAUUAAAAACGGAUCUGUGGGUGAAACAUCAAGAUCAUGUCGAAGACCCUUUAAUUCACAUCUGCUUGCCGAUCUACGUGGGGGGUGGGGGUGGUGUUUACUCCUUGUUUUUUCUUAAUAAAGGAAGAUCGUAGGUUGUACUAUAAAGAACUAACUUAGUUCAGUAACUGCAGAAUAACCACUACGCACACAAUGACUAACACUGGGCAAAUUUCAGUUGGUCAAAGUAGAACCAUGAUGGAAAUGCUUGAGACAUUUAACUAGUACAGCUAAACAAACCAGAAAUGGUCACCGGUGCAAUCAAAUAUCUGUGAUUUGUGCAUAAAAGUAUGUUUAAGUGGAUCCAGUUUCUAGGCGGGCAUGUUAUGUAAAAUGAAAAUAUUAAUCCAUAAUGAAGUUGCACUAAUUUAGAACAACCAGAGCUAAAAGGUCAUGAUUAGGUAGUUUCAUACUUUGUGGCUCCCUGUACAAUUUUCUUUUCCAUGAUUUGUUUCCAUCAGGUAAUACACCCUUCAGCACUUAUGCUCACAAGUACAGAGAAGAGUAUCUGUCAGUCUGAAUACACUGCCUUUACCACAACCACAUUCCUGUUCCCCGCCCACCCCCUGCAGUGUCCCAGAAUGUCUCCUGCACCACAGUGCCAGACUGGAUGCAAUCCAUUUUAGAAAUACCUUGUAGGGUUGAGAGUCACCAAAAUCUGUCAUGAGUAGAAAGAGAUAACUGGAAAUGUAAUAAAAACAAGUGAGCUAAAGCUAUUUGGUGUGGCAGAAAGGCAGUCACUUGUAUUUAUAAAUAAUUGUCAAGAGCCUGCAUUUCCUGAAACUUUCAAUUUUUUUUACUUUCACAGUUUAUAUACUUGAAGAAAGGGACUGAUCCACCAGUGAAUUAUGAAGUUGUUUCAAAUCACUUGACACACAAAACCUUGAAUAUGUUUAUGUCCCAAUUCCAAACACCAGCGUAUACUGCCAACAUUAAAUUGGUAUAAAAGCUUCACUUCCUAAACUCUUUCCAUGUUGUUUACAAUGGGAAAAUUGCCAAGAAUAUGGACUAAUUAGCUGCAAACUCUUGAGCAGCUUUGUGCUUUGGUUUUGUAGUUACUGAGAACUGGAUUGAGA